CAGCGCGGAGCCGCGUGAGAACGCCCCACCGCUGAGUUCGUGUCGUCACUUGAAAGCAUAACAAGCAGCAGUAACAGAGCAGGUCCAGCCCAAGCAGUUGCCUGUUGCAGAUACCCUGACUUCAGCAGGGGGAGAGGCAGAGUUUUGGCCGACGAGAGAGCGAGAGCCGUGAGUCCUCACGGCGCGGCUUCUGUGCGUGUGCGUGUGCGUGUGUGCACGUGCGUUGAGCGCCGAAGGAUGAAGCGUGGCGGCAGCGGUCAACAGGACAACGUGGCGCGCCUGACAGCAAGGGGGUUCGGGAAGGCCAAGGCUACUCAAGCGCUCAAGGAUGCCGGCAACAACGUAGAGGUAGCCCUGCGGAUUCUGGAACGGCAGCGUGAUCAGCAACAGCAGCAGCAGUCGCGAGCGCGCGGGAUAGAUGGAGCGCGCACGUCGACCAGCACGACCUCAGCGGCCAUCCCAUCGCUGAACCGAACGAAACCGCCGCCGACGUCGACUCUGUUCGCUAGUUCUUCUCCCGCCGUCGAGGCCAUGCGCCGGCAGCGGGAGCGCCUCCACCCCUGCGUCGUGCAGUUCGGCUCGUGUCAGUACGGCCAGUAUUGCGUCCUCAAGGAUCUCCCCGGCGACGUUUGCGUGCAGCACUUUCAAGGCAGCUGCGUGUACGGAAGUUCCUGCCGCCAUCGCCACACGAUCGAAGGCGUCGAUGUUCGCGAUUAUGUGUGGGGCGCCUCUAAGGACGGUGACGCGGAGCCCGUGCUGCGAAACGGUGAUUCGAUGUACCGCGUGCGCGCCGUGGAUGGGAUGGGGUCGAAGGUGCAGAUGGCCGAGCCGAUAGGCGACCAGGCCGACACCCACGCACGUGCCGAUGAUGGUGAGUGUGACGGUGGCGACGUGGCGCACCGACGGCUCGCCGCUCCGCCACUGCUUGCCUCCGAUUUUAAUCGCAUUCGCGGAUCAGUCCCAUCGUACACAGAGCCGAUGCUGUCGUCGCCGCCGUAUGCGUUCCAAGGCGAGGCGGUGGAGGCUGAGGGCAGCGAGGAGGGUGACGCUGCAGGAUGUGGCGCAACGAAAACGGGCCCAGCAGCGCUCCUGGUGGCGCAUCCGACACCGUUCCGCGAUCUAGUGAAGGGUAGCGCUGGCCCUGUGCAGCUCCCUCCUCCACAGCGACCACUGCCGUCAUCAUCGACGACGACCUCUCCUCCAACAACGGCGACUGCUCGUCGCGCUCGUGCACGUCACCCGUGCAUUGCGCAGUACGGCAGCUGCAAGUUCGGCGACGCCUGCGUCCACGCUGACCGUGACGCGGACGUUUGCGUGCACUUCCUUAACCGCCGUUGCCGCUACAGCGCAGACGAGUGCCGUUACCGCCACGAAACGGAGGCGGAGUACCACGCCGCGUUGCUCGCUCGCACCGCUCUGCCGGGGCCGACUGCGGACGCGACGGGCGAGCGGAAGGAGCCGCGGCACACCGACAAGCCAAGGAGCCGCUUGCAGGGCGGCCCUUCGCGAAGUGCAUCGGCGUCAGGCUCGGGUCGAGACACGUCUUCGGAUGCCCGGGCACCGUCGCUAGCGCUGCCGUCCGUGGAGGACUUGGCGGCGCUGCCCGAAGCACUGCGGCCAGUUGACCAUGCCGUGGCGACUCACCACGGCGACGGCGACGGCGACCACCUCAGCAGCGCCUCUGAGAUGCAGGUCUUCCUGGGGCUGCUUGAGGUGUUCCCGAAUGUUGAGCCGGCGGUGGUGCUGCAGGCGCUGCGCGUGAGCGGCGGAGACCCAAUCCGCGCCAGUGACGUUAUUGCCCACGCUGGUGCCGUCCCGACAACGGCCGAGGUGAACGACGUGGCUGCUGCACUUGCGUUGGCGGCGGCCGAGGAGACAGCGGCGCGCGAGGCGGCGGUGGACGACGCUGCUGCGGCAGUGGCGCUGGAGCGCCACAACGCCCUCCUGACACUCAUCUCCCUCUUCCCAGGAGUCGACCCGGUUGCGGUGGAGGCGGUGCUGUCGCAGCACCACGGUGCCUUCGCCGACGCGUACAAUGUACUUUUCUGCGCGCAGGAGAAUGUGGCUCGGUCAGCCAUGUGGAGCGGGAGCACGGCGGCUAUGACGCCAGCCGAUCAGCUCCGCGUAGAGAAGCUGUGCGUGAUGUUCCCCGGCCUCGACGCGGACGUCGUGCGGAGCGCCUACUGCGCCGCAGACCGUCAGUGGAGUCGCGCGACAGCGGCGCUGAACGCGCUGACGAAGGAGCUGCUCUCACUGGACUCUGUCGAGGCGGCGCCUGCAAAGAUGGCUGCAGCGGCGACGGUGGAGUGGCGGCCGCCGCAUCCCGCUACGGCGACGACAGCGGUCGCAGGGGACGACAGCAGCGGUGCCGGCGGUGUCCAGAAGACCCGUGAAGAAACGAGCGCGGAGGUCUACAGCGCCUAUCGAGCGGCGGAAAAUGAGAUACUCGAGUUCGGCGACUGGCGGCGGGUGCGGGAGCGGGCGUACCUGAUGAACACGCAGCGUCUCCGUGUCCUGGGCCAGGCCACCGCGGCCUUUUCAAGCGGGGACGGCAGGACGGCGAGAGUCCUUAGCAGCGAGGGUCGUCGGCUCGGUCUCGAGUACAACCGCCUGAAUCGCUUGGCGAUGCUCGCCCUGGAGCAAGAGCGGCUGCGCACAGAUGCCACAAGCACCCUCGACCUCCACGGUUUCCAUAGCACUGAGGUGCAUGACGUGCUGGUCCGUCGCGUCCGCGUCUGCCAGCGCCAUCGUAUUGGUCACCUCCGCAUUGUGACGGGGCAGGGCAAGCACAGCAGGCACGGCCAUCAGUCGCUCUACCCCACCGUCAUGGAAGACCUCCGCACAGACGCUUUUCUGAGUGCUGUCGUAAAGGUCAAGUCCAUCAAGGCCGGCUACAUCGACGUCACAGUGCGACUGCCGAACACCGGAUCCUAAGCAAGAGGAGGGUGGCGGACGGAUAGAGCCGCCUGGCAGCGCGAGGAGAAGGGCAUGACUGACCAGGGAUGACAAAAAACCGUACGUGUGCGGUUGCGCUCUCCAGCGCACCCUCCCCUUCAGCAUCCUUCUCCGCUUACGAGGUUCCUUUCUCUUCUCCCAGAGCUCUCACUGCACGUAUGUGUGUGUGUGUGUGCUGGGGGGGGGGGUCUGUGAGUAUCGUGUAAGACGCAGACGACGGCAACAGCAGCAUCAAGGACGAUGCUUCCUAACAAGACGUUCUAACCCCCCAUCUCUUGGUGCGUGUAGCAUCGGACCUGCUCCGGUCGUCAUCACCACCACUUGACCGCCACCUCCUCCCUCAUCAGCGCUUCCUCCUUUCUCUUAUCAGCGUCGCGCACCUCAAGAACGGACAGACUCUCUCUUUCACACACACAUACACACACACACAGAGACGGGCGUAUAUAUACAUACACACACACGGGGAGUGGAUGCAUCAUCGCCAUCGACCUCCUCGUCGUCAGCAUCGCUUCCACGGUGCGCUGUCUCUCUGUGCCUGCUUCUCUCUCGCUACCGUUUCUUCGUCGCGGCUUUGUGGGAGCACCGCACCUUCACUGGCCCACGCCACCCCCUCCUCUUGGGCGCAUGCUUUCGGCUCGCUCGUGCGCUUGCCCCCCCCCUCUCCCCACCCCUCACAAUGCCUCCCCGUGCAGG
This 3648-nucleotide unclassified non-coding RNA is filed under the name Leishmania donovani. Its description in RNAcentral is "gene:LdHU3.01.0230(CDS-product:UBA/TS-N_domain/CU E_domain/Domain_of_unknown_function_(DUF1771)/Smr_domain_co ntaining_protein_putative)". The record is from RNAcentral. Lineage: Eukaryota; Euglenozoa; Kinetoplastea; Trypanosomatida; Trypanosomatidae.